GACGAACGCUGGCGGCGCGCCUAACACAUGCAAGUCGAACGGAGUCAAGAGGAGCUUGCUUUUCUUGACUUAGUGGCGAACGGGUGAGUAACGCGUGAGUAACCUGCCCUGGAGUGGGGGACAACAGUUGGAAACGACUGCUAAUACCGCAUAAGCCCACGGAUCUGCAUGGAUCUGCGGGAAAAGGAUUUAUUCGCUCUAGGAUGGACUCGCGUCCAAUUAGCUAGUUGGUGAGGUAACGGCCCACCAAGGCGACGCUUGGUAGCCGGACUGAGAGGUUGAACGGCCACAUUGGGACUGAGACACGGCCCAGACUCCUACGGGAGGCAGCAGUGGGGGAUAUUGCACAAUGGGGGAAACCCUGAUGCAGCGACGCCGCGUGGAGGAAGAAGGUUUUCGGAUUGUAAACUCCUGUCGUUAGGGACGAUAAUGACGGUACCUAACAAGAAAGCACCAGCUAACUACGUG
This 468-nucleotide ribosomal RNA is filed under the name uncultured bacterium. RNAcentral's name for it is "partial 16S ribosomal RNA". It matches the Rfam family "Bacterial small subunit ribosomal RNA", at positions 28 to 507 of the family's 1533-position model. The record is from RNAcentral.